UACGAAGGGUGCAAACGUUGCUCGGAAUUAUUGGGCGUAAAGCGCACGUAGGCGGCUUGGCAAGUCGGAUGUGAAAUCCCUCGGCUCAACCAAGGAAGUGCAUCCGAAACUGCUGAGCUUGAGUACUUAAGAGGAUUGCGGAAUUCCCGGUGUAGAGGUGAAAUUCGUAGAUAUUCGCAAGAACACCAGUGGCGAAGGCGGCUCACUGGCCCGGUACUGACGCUGAGGUGCGAAAGCGUGGGGAGCAAAGCAGG
RNAcentral lists this ribosomal RNA (254 nucleotides) under uncultured bacterium. Its description in RNAcentral is "partial 16S ribosomal RNA". It matches the Rfam family "Bacterial small subunit ribosomal RNA", at positions 524 to 777 of the family's 1533-position model. The record is from RNAcentral.